GGACAAAGUUUACCAAAUG
This 19-nucleotide unclassified non-coding RNA is filed under the name synthetic construct. The record is from RNAcentral.